RNAcentral lists this long non-coding RNA (6313 nucleotides) under Sus scrofa (pig). RNAcentral's name for it is "lncRNA (ENSSSCG00000055587.1)". Lineage: Eukaryota; Metazoa; Chordata; Mammalia; Artiodactyla; Suidae. The record is from RNAcentral.
UUUUUUUUUUUUUUUUUUUUUUUUCCUCAAGGACUUUAACCCAGAUGGAGUCUAAUAGUUCAGACGACCAAGAACACACACAUCAGUGCUGCCAACUCUUAACUUGGUAUUUUGGGUUUAAGAUUAUGGUUUCCGAUUUGUCAUUAUAUAUGUUUUUCUGUUUCUGUAUUGCUGCUGUUCAUCUUUCAUUAUCUUAUUGAUGGAUUUCCUACUCUUUGCCAAGAAACCAUAAUUAAAGCAUUAUCCUUUUCUUCAAGGAACUUAAAAUAAUCUUUGAACAUCAAUUAGGCCCAUAAAUAAACAUAGUUCUUAAAUAUCAAGAUAAUUAAAGACUUAUAUAGACAUUGAAUCACUUUAUUUUCAAGAAGAGACUGUUUGAAUUACACAGAGGAAUUGUAUUCAGUUUUAACCAUGUACAAAUUGGCUUUCUGAUAACAUGUCUUAACAUUUUUAGUUAGGCACAAAUUAUAUUUUCCACACUUUCUGGUAUAUGAAUAUACCAUCUCAAAUAUUUGCCAAGAUAUUAGAGCAAAUUCAGAGAUCUUGAAACAGCAAAUAAGCUACCAGCAUUAUUCAUAGGCAAUGCUGCAACCCACAGCCAAGAACAGGUAGGACAGUUUUCUAUUAGCAAAAAAUUUCACAACUAGUUAUAAUUCUCUCAAUACUAAACGUGGUAUCUAAAGCAUAUGAGGUGUUCUUUGAUCAGCAAGGUAGAAUCACAUCUUAGGAAAUAAGAAAUUUGGAACACAAAGUGUUUAGGGAUUUGUGCACACACACAUCCUUGCAGUAUUCAGUUUAUUAUUGUUUGAAAGCUUAUCUGAGCCAUCUGUAACUUGAAAUAGGCUGUCUAUGGGCUGUAUUAAUGCACUUCCUCUCUGUUCUUUUAUUGUGUAUCUUUUCAAUAUCUACCCUGAAGCAGGCACUUUUAUAGGCAUUCACUAGGCAAUUGGAAAUAUAAUUCCUAAUUUUUUGGACCUGUCUAUUGGAAGGAAUAAACAUUUAUAACCUAGCACUGAAAGUCCUGUAUUAGAGAUAGCGGAGGCUGCUGCAGGAGCUCAGAACAGGGAAACUUCUUCAUGGAGAAUGGCAUUUGGGUGGAUGUCUGUGUGUGCAUAUGUGUAAAAAUGGUCAUGGGAUGUGUAUAUAAGUCAGCCAAAUUAAUGAUGGGGGAUGAGGAAAGUGUCUACAAGGAAAAUAAAAAUAUGAGAAGGCUUUGAUGCAUGAUGGAGUAUAACAUGAUAAAAAACUGAGAAAUUCAGUGAAGACUGUAGAAUGUAAAGGAAGGAUUGCAAGAAGAGGAAGUAGAGAGAGAGGCAAGAUUGCAAAGGCUUUUUAAGGUCAUUUGCAUUUAAAUCCAAAAAGGCAAUGGCUCUGAAAGUCACUGGAAAGUGUUGGAGGAGAGCUACCUAAUCAGAUUGGUGUUGUGGAUACAUUCUGGGUACAGUGGAUUGGAGAAGCCAAAACUGAAGGAAGGGAGAUCAGUUGAAAUACAUUAGUCCAGGAUAAGAAUGAUUAUCCUGGUCUGGAGUGGAGGCUACAGAUACUGAAUGAGUGGAUCAAAGGCACGUUCAGGAGACAGAGUGAGCAGAACUUUGUUCUUGAUUUUACUCAGGAGGUAGAAGGAAUGCCACAAUUCAAGAAUGGCUCCAGGGUUCCUAACAUGGGCAACUAGGUGGAUGGUGAUGCAACUUACCCAUAUGUAAGCAAUAGAAGUUUGUGGGGUUAUGAAGAGGGAUGGGUAAAUAUAAUGACCUUAGUUUUGAACAAAUGGAGCUGGAGGGGCUUCUAAUAACCAUAUCAUUUGGUAAUCUUCAGGAUGGUUCUAAAUCCUACCUCGCAUAAUUCCCAGUAAGAAAUUCUCAUUCUUGGUUGUUUGGCAUUUUUAGUGAAAAUUUCAUUACUGUUUAAUAUUUUAAUAAUAAACAUAAAAUUAGUAUUUAGAAAAACAAAUCGGCAAUCACGAUAACUCUAUGACCAGUAAAAACAUCUAAGUUUUGCAUUUAGCUUAUUGAAGUAUUUCUGAGUAUUGGUGUUUAGAAAUGCCUUAAACCAUUAAGUGUUCCUUCAGGGUGAUGUUUUCUUAGAUUCCCGAAAAUGAAUUUGUUAAAAAUAAAGGUGGUGAUAAUAUUGUGAUUCCAUUAUAGCUGACAGAAAGUUAAACUUAUCUAAGAACCAUAGGCUCUUCCACUUUGCUAAUUUUAAAUGUUUUAUUUUAGUUAAGUGAACUUGAUACUUGAUUUCGCUGAUGUAAAAAAUAAAAUGAAAAAUUCUAAAUAAAUAUCACAAUUGGCUGCUAAUCUUACAGUGAUAUUUAAAGGGCAACCAUAGACAUUUUGUAGAAAAAUCACAAUAUUUUCUGCUUAAACAAAGAGACCUAGGAACAAUGCCAUAAUAAAUACAACAAAACAAGCAAAUGAAAAUGUUUUAAGCUUCCCUUGCUAGUCAUUUAUUCAUAGUAAGAAACGAAUUUCACAUAAUGGAGGUAACAUGGUAGAGUUCUAUAUUGUAGACAAGAUCAAAUAGAGUUGGGGUCAAAAAGAGGCAGCCAGAGAGGAGGAAGGGAGAAAAAAGUUAUCAUUAUCUAGUGAUCUAACUAGAUAUUUAAAUAUGCUCAAAAAUACAUUUGAAUGGGUUUUUAUAGAGGUUUAUCCAGUUAUGUAACUUACUUUUAUAGGAAUUACCUAUCCCAUUGGCUUUUGUUCAUUUAAGAAAUCUUUAUACAUUCAUUUAUUAAUCCAAGUCCGUCUUGAACUGAUGGAGAAGCACAGGAGUGAAAGGUUGUCAGAAUUGAGUCCUGGUGGUUCCAGAGCACUUCAGCAGCUCCUGUAACAUAUGCUCAGUACAUAUCAUCUCAAAUAAUUUGCCCUUUGAUCUUCUUGAUUUUCUCAUUUUGUUAAACAUGGAUGGUAGAAGCACCACAUGUUGUAAAGAAACAUUUGAAUACUUGUGUUGAUGGCGAUAUUGAAAGGAAAUGAAAUAUGGCUUUAAAAUCUGGCUUAGCUGGACGGGUUGGUCCUGAUUGGUUUUCAGACUCAACGUAGAGUUUUCCUUGCAUGACAAUAAGUAAAAUUGGCAUGAGUCAAAUGCCUUUCUUGUUCACUUGAUAAUGAAAAGCAGAGCUCACAUAUUCACCUAUGCAGUGUGUUCUUUUUAAAUAUUAGGUUCUUUCAAUGAAUAACUGCAAAAGCCCAAACUGAAUGUUUUAUAGUGACAAGACCCUCAUCAUACAAAUGAGCUUUGAGCACUAGAUGGAGAGAGAUGUUUGGGUACAUUAUUUAUAAUCUUGGCUUAUUUUAGAAGAUUUUGUGAUAAUUGCACUGUUAUUGAUAAAAUAAAAGAGACUGAUUCAAAUAUCCUGUAUAAAUUCUUCUGUAUAAACAAAUUAUGUUAAAAAUAGGGUUUAAAGAACAACGAUUUAAUUGCUAGUGAUUCUUUGAAUCAGCAAUCUGAUUAGGGCAAUUCUCUUGCUAGUCUUUCCUGCUGUGCCUCCCCUCCCCUGCAAUGAGCUGGCAGGUUGGUGGGAGGUAGGUUGACCUAGAAUGACCUUACUCUUAAUGUUUGGGGCCUAUUGCUAGCUGUUGGCCUAAGUGACAUUGAUGAUUGAACAAUCUGUCUUUAUCUAAUCUGUGCUUCAUCAGGUGGUGAAUGUUACAAAAUUCCUUAGGAGCAACCAAGCAGGGCUACCCCAGUGUGUAAGUUUUUUUAAGCCUCUGGUUGCGUUACUUUUUUUUUUUUUUUUUUUUUUAAAUGUUCCAUAAGACAAAGCAAGUGUAGGAAUGGAGAAAUAGACACCACCUUUUAAUGGGAAGAGCUUCAAGGUAACAUUGCAAAAGGGCAUGCAUGCUGGAUGGGAAGAAUUUGUGACUGUUUUGGUAUUCAACCACAGUUCCUACUAGGGACCUAGCAUCUCAGCAUGUCUGAAAGUCCAGUUAUUCCCUACCUUUGUCACACCAGGUCGUGUAAUUUUUAAAUUUCAGCUAAUCUAGUGGCAGUUUAGUAAUAUUUCAUGGUGGUUUUAAUUUCAACUUCUCUGAUCAGUACUGUUGUUAAGAACUGUUUAUGUUUACUGGCUCUUUGGAGAUUCUCUUUGAAUUCUCUAAAUUCAAGGUUUUUACCCACUUCUGUACUGAGCAGACAAGCUUUUAACUUUUUGGUUUGUAGCUCUGUCUGUCUCUCUUGCUCGCUCGCUCACACACACACAUUUCUGAUGCACUGCAAAUAUUAUUCAACCCACUUGUAUCAUAGUUCACAAUAACCCCCAAUUGUACUAUCUCCUCUGACCCCCUGCUCCCCAUUUUUGGUCUCUUUUCCCCCCUUCUAGCUCUAACUGCUAUUCUCAAUUUGGUAUAAAUACUUAUUUUCUAGGGCUGCCAUACAAAGUGCCCCAAACUGGGUAACAAAACAGCAGAAAUCUACGGCCUCACAAUUCUAGAGGCUCGAAGUCCAAAAUCAAGGUUUUAGGUGAGCCUUGCUGCCUCUGAAAUUCAUAGGGGGGAAUCUUUCCUUGCCUCUGCCUAGCUUCUGGUGUCUGUUGGCAAUCUUUGCCAUUCCUUGGCUUGUAAAUGCAUUGCUCUAAUUCUCUCUCUUCAAAUCUCUGUGUUCUCUCUUUGCAUGACACUCUUUUUACAAGGAUGCCAGUUAUAUUGGAUUAGGGGCCCAUUCUACCCAGAUAAAACCUUAUCUUCACGAAUUACAUCUGCAUAGAGCCUAUUCCUAAUUUCCUAUUCUGUGGUAGGUACAGGGAUUAAGAACAUCAGCAUAUCCUUUCAUGUGGGACACAAUUCAACCCAUAACAAUAUCCUUCAAGAUGUUUUUCUCAUGCUUUAUUGAGAAUUCAUUAAAUUACUAAAGUUAAAAAUAUAAAGCAUAUGUUUUUUAUUUGGAGGAAAGGAAAGCUCUUUUUGAAUAAGAAAAAAGCCACAAAAAGAUUGAUAAACUUAUUCCAAACAGAAACUUCUAUAUGAAAGAGAAAUUUUGUAAUGUGUCUAAUAGAGGGAGUAUGUUCACUUCAGGAAAAUACUUCCAACAAUUUGAUACAAAUUAAGACAAAUAAUCAGAAGGAAGGUGGGCAAGAAAGAAGCAGUAUCUGUUCAGGGAUGGGGAAAUAGAAACGGUUAAAACAAUGUGCUUUAUUUCUAGUCUUUACUUGCAUUGAUUCUUCUCUGAGCAAGUGUGUUCAUCUUCCUGUUUUUAUCUGUCCCUUGGCCCAGCACCUACAACCAAUUCUCACUCUGUCUCCCUAACUGUUAGAACUUUUUUAUCUUCUUCUGGACAGCUUCCUGAACCUCUCUGAGGAAUAAAUGAAUAUGUUCCAUAGUGUACAUCAAGCCGUAAAAAAGUAAGGUGUAUUAGGUCUCAAGGUCAUGUGAUAAUUAAUGCUCCCACUCAUGAUUGACAAUUGCUGCACCAAUUGCAAUAUAAGAACAACUUCUUGGAUAUUUGUUUUUUCAGGCUAUUUGUUGUUGUUGUUGUUGUUGUUUUCUUUUCUGGGAUUUAAGGGGAAAGAAAGAAUGACCAAUUUUUUCCUUACCAUCACUUAGCUUCUUAAUUUCAAGCUAAGGUAUCUAGCUAGCCGGCGAUGGAUGAUAAGGUUUACACUAAUGCAUCUGCAGCAUCUUGAUAAACAAUCUUUAAUGAUGGAGGAAGGAAAUUUAGUCUUUACCUGACAAUGAGAGCAAGUCUUCAGGCUGUUGCUAAGUGCUACACAAAGUAAACUUCAGUUAGAUAGAACUGGGAAAUUAACAUUCAGUAUUAUAAGAGCCAAUAUUUUCCUGGAGACAAAUAGAAAAAAAAAAUCAUCUUAAUUCAAGCAUAUAUCUAACCUAACAUCACAUUAAUCUGUACCAAGGACGCAAUGAAUAUGUGAAAACUGAUUGGUAUGAGACUUUAAGAAGAAAAUCUUGUAGUAAUUCUAUUAUUAGUAUAACUCAAAAUAGACUGACAAAAUAUUUUCAAGUGUAUGUCUUUUUAGAGACACCGUUUUAAUCAAAUGAAGCAUGUAUAGCUACCAUAUGAAAUGCUUAUAAAAAACAAGAAAACUAGGAAGAUAAGUAACCUACCUCAUGCUUACCUUUGCCCUUUUGUUCUGCUCACUUAAAGUCUUUAUUAAGGAGAAUGCAAGAUAAACCUCAUCUUGAAGUUGUGGGUCAGUGGAAAUGAACCCAAAUAGUAUCCAUGAGGAUGUGGGUUAGAUCCCUGGCCCCGCUCAGUGGGCUAAGGAUCUGGCAUUGGUUGUAACUGUGGUGUAGGUCAGCAGCUGUAGCUCUGAUUCGACCUCUAGCCUCAGAACCCCAUAUGCUGCAGGUGUGGCCCU